GCACAGGCAUGCUCUGCUGGCCAGAGAACAGGCAGGUGUCCCCCUCCUAUUCCCGUCUUCCUCACUUCUCAUGCCCAACGAAGUGCAGCAAGCACUGACGGAUAUCUUGUCUGCUUUCCCUUUGAGCCUAGUCCCUCUCUUUCUCUGGCUCCUGUGCGCUUGCUUUCUUUCGUUUUUCCCAGCCCCAUCACUUAUUCAUGGAACAGGUUCAACUCCCAGCACUGAUGUCUGGAAACGACGCGUGGACACAGAAGUGACAGUGGGUGGUUUCGAGAGUGGCCAGCGUGGAUAAUAGCAGCCGGGCAAUGGAGUCCUCUGUAGUCUUAGAAAACCAGAGUGAUGGCUUCCUCAUAGCUUGCCUGUCCACAUCCAUUUCAUACACCAGAGAGAGCACAUCUGCGUUUCUGUUACAGUACAGAUGGGUCGGAGACAGAAGAUCACAGGGUGAAGGUCCUGGAAGUAGCAGAAGAGUGGAGACGUUGAGGGCUGAAGACACACACACACUCACGAAAGACACAGGAGGUAACUGGGAAUCACUGGAGACAGCCACACAACAAAAAGGAGAGCCAGAACAAAGCCCGGCAAUUACAGUAAGAAAGAACUCAUCGCUGUGGGGCAAGGUGGACAGCACAGAGCCACGCUCAUCUUACACAGCUCUCACACAGACACGCAUGCUGGCAAAAGGCAUCCAGCCCAUCAGGAGCCUCUGAGAGGAAACAGGAUGGGGAAUUCCAAACAAAGAGACAGAGCCAAAACAGGAGGCAACGAAGGGGACAGGCCACAGCUUUUAGCAACAUGUCAACUGGACACAUUAUUUCAUAAAAUAUCCUCUGUGAGCAUGAAAAAUGCAGGCUGACUCCAGGAGAAGGGUAUGUAUAAUUGAUUCAAAUGAGGAGCUCUUCCCUGCCAGGGACCGUGUGCUCAGUUUGCCAGCUGCUGUGGUUGGAGAACAGAAUGUAGGCCAGAGGAAGAAGAAAGGUGCUCCGGACACAGCCUGACCCGGUGGGAGAGAAGAAAAGAUAGAGGACAUACCACAUCAAGCCCCAGGCCAUGAUGUGUAUGACGUUAUUAAGAGUUCAUCCAAAUGCCGUGCAUCACUAGCAUCAUUUGCAUUAGCUCAUUCAGGACAAUCACAUAACCUCCUCAUUAAAUAAACAAAAG
Cyprinus carpio carpio is the source of this 1161-nucleotide long non-coding RNA. The record is from Ensembl. NCBI's taxonomy places the organism in Eukaryota, Metazoa, Chordata, Actinopteri, Cypriniformes, Cyprinidae.